GACGAACGCUGGCGGCGUGCCUAAAACAUGCAAGUCGAACGGUAGUAGCAAUACUAUAGUGGCGAACGGCGGAGUAAUACAUAAGCAACGUGCCCCGAAGUCCGGGAUAGCCGUGGGAAACCGCGAGUAAUACCGGAUGUGACUCUUGGAGGACAUCCUUCGAGAAUUAAACGGUUUUUCGCUCGGGAGCGGCUUAUGGCCUAUCAGCUUGUUGGCGGGGUAACGGCCCACCAAGGCGACGAC
RNAcentral lists this ribosomal RNA (243 nucleotides) under uncultured bacterium. Its description in RNAcentral is "partial 16S ribosomal RNA". It matches the Rfam family "Bacterial small subunit ribosomal RNA", at positions 28 to 280 of the family's 1533-position model. The record is from RNAcentral.